GAUGAACGCUGGCGGCGUGCCUAAUACAUGCAAGUCGAGCGAACAGACGAGGAGCUUGCUCCUCUGACGUUAGCGGCGGACGGGUGAGUAACACGUGGAUAACCUACCUAUAAGACUGGGAUAACUUCGGGAAACCGGAGCGAAUACCGGAUAAUAUAUUGAACCGCAUGGUUCAAUAGUGAAAGACGGUUUUGCUGUCACUUAUAGAUGGAUCCGCGCCGCAUUAGCUAGUUGGUAAGGUAACGGCUUACCAAGGCAACGAGGCGUAGCCGACCUGAGAGGGUGAUCGGCCACACUGGAACUGAGACACGGUCCAGGCUCCUGCGGGAGGCAGCAGUAGGGAAUCUUCCGCAGAGGGCGAAAGCUUGACGGAGCAACGCCGCGUGAGUGAUGAAGGUCUUCGGAUCGUAAAACUCUGUUAUUAGGGAAGAACAAAUGUGUAAGUAACUAUGCACGUCUUGACGGUACCUAAUCAGAAAGCCACGGCUAACUACGUG
This 497-nucleotide ribosomal RNA is filed under the name uncultured bacterium. RNAcentral describes it as "partial 16S ribosomal RNA". It matches the Rfam family "Bacterial small subunit ribosomal RNA", at positions 28 to 507 of the family's 1533-position model. The record is from RNAcentral.